Molecule: ribosomal RNA, 545 nt
Filed under: uncultured bacterium
Lineage: Bacteria
Description: bacterial SSU rRNA
Rfam family: Bacterial small subunit ribosomal RNA
Source: RNAcentral
AAUAGAUACCCUGGUAGUCCACGCCGUAAACGAUGAGUGCUAAGUGUUGGGGGGUUUCCGCCCCUCAGUGCUGCAGCUAACGCAUUAAGCACUCCGCCUGGGGAGUACGGUCGCAAGACUGAAACUCAAAGGAAUUGACGGGGGCCCGCACAAGCGGUGGAGCAUGUGGUUUAAUUCGAAGCAACGCGAAGAACCUUACCAGGUCUUGACAUCCCGGUGACCACUAUGGAGACAUAGUUUCCCCUUCGGGGGCAACGGUGACAGGUGGUGCAUGGUUGUCGUCAGCUCGUGUCGUGAGAUGUUGGGUUAAGUCCCGCAACGAGCGCAACCCUUAUUCUUAGUUGCCAUCAUUCAGUUGGGCACUCUAAGGAGACUGCCGGUGAUAAACCGGAGGAAGGUGGGGAUGACGUCAAAUCAUCAUGCCCCUUAUGACCUGGGCUACACACGUGCUACAAUGGACGGUACAAACGGUUGCCAACCCGCGAGGGGAGCUAAUCCGAUAAAACCGUUCUCAGUUCGGAUUGUAGGCUGCAACUCGCCUACAU